GACGAACGCUGGCGGCGUGCUUAACACAUGCAAGUCGAACGGAAAGGCCCUGCUUUUGUGGGGUGCUCGAGUGGCGAACGGGUGAGUAACACGUGAGUAACCUGCCCUUGACUUUGGGAUAACUUCAGGAAACUGGGGCUAAUACCGGAUAGGAGCUCCUGCUGCAUGGUGGGGGUUGGAAAGUUUCGGCGGUUGGGGAUGGACUCGCGGCUUAUCAGCUUGUUGGUGGGGUAGUGGCUUACCAAGGCUUUGACGGGUAGCCGGCCUGAGAGGGUGACCGGCCACAUUGGGACUGAGAUACGGCCCAGACUCCUACGGGAGGCAGCAGUGGGGAAUAGUGCACAAUGGGCGGAAGCCUAAUGCAGCAACGCCGCGUGCGGGAUGACGGCCUUCGGGUUGUAAACCGCUUUCGCCUGUGACGAAGCGUGAGUGACGGUAAUGGGUAAAGAAGCACCGGCUAACUACGUG
Molecule: ribosomal RNA, 468 nt
Filed under: uncultured bacterium
Lineage: Bacteria
Description: partial 16S ribosomal RNA
Rfam family: Bacterial small subunit ribosomal RNA
Source: RNAcentral